AAGCAUAGAAAUAAAAAAAAAUUGAAGAAAAAAGAAAAAAUUUCCCACAAAAACUACUAUGGGUAGGAAAUGUAAUUAGUUUAAUGAGUAGAAAGACAAAUGGGUAGGCAAGGGUAAAUAGUUUUGUUUUAGUGGGUAGCUGUGUCAUUCUCCCAUAAACUAUGUAUCAAACACUGAUCCAUAUUGAAAAAUAAAUAGAAAAACGAUAACCAAUAGUCUAUGUAAAACAUCCGUAUAAUUGGGUAUUUUAUAACAAUAAGCCCAUGAGAAGACCCAUGAAUCAAACAUUAUAUAUAUAUAUUAAAAAAAAACUACAUCAUCAUAGAAUGUGCUAUUAGUUUUUUUCUCCAUUCUGACAUAGACCAGUAGUAAGCAAAGCUAUCCUUCAACCAAAAUGUCCAGCGUGAUACAAAAGAGCAAAAUCACACUAUGGUUCUUCGGCCAUCACCAUACAUAGAAUACAUGUACCAUUUCAAAUUUGUAGAAAUAACUGAAAGAUAAUCUACAUUUAGAAAAUAGGCUCAUCAUUAUUUAGUAGUACUCACAUAGUUUUUACUAAUCUAUAAGGUAAAUGGCAUAAUUUCAACUACUAUUUAAGAUAGAAAACCAAUACCUCAUGAUAUUGACACAUACAAGUUUCUGAGACCAAAAGCCUUUGGAAGUUUUUGUGAAUACAAACCAGGGCUUCUCAUAAUCCUCUCCAUCUAUUUAUUAAUUAUUUCCGCAACUCCUUUUUCUUACUUCAUCUUUUCUUCAUCAACUCUGUAGUAAUCUUGAGCCAAUAGAAAAAUGUCCAACUAUGAUCCUUGUUCCUAGUACAUAAACUCAACUCGGGGAUAUAAAUUAAGGGAUAUCUCUGAUGCAGUAUUGUCAGCCCCUACUGCAUUUGAGAAGCUAUACAUCGAUCAACAUAUAGCCAAGAAAAGUGAAUGUAUAGUUCUCCGAUGAAUGGAUGAAGCUACUCUUCAAGUUAGACUUGUGGCUAGGUAACUUUUAGUUUAUUACUUAAAUUGUAUAUAAUUAUAGUCAUCAGUUUCAGAAAAAUAGCAUUAGAAUCUUGCUAACUUCACAAUUGAUUGGAGGCAUUUAGACUCACUUCGGCGACUCUGCCCUUUAGAUAAAAGAUUUCUAUCAGAUCUUAAUUAGAAUAUGCAACCAGGUCUGGGACAAACUGCUCCAGAUUUGGGGUCUAAAUUAAUUCACUAUGUGCAGUACCAAUCAUUGCACCACCCUUGCCCAUCAAAAGGUAUGAUGAUCUAUUCGUGCAUAUGAUUUUUGAUAAUUCGUGCCAUCACUGUUUCUUACACAUCAAUUCUCAGAACAUAUGUACCAUUUCAAAUUUGGAAAUAACUGGAAUAUAAAUUUAUAUUUGAGAAAUCAUGAAAACUAGCAUUUGAUCCAUACUAUUUGCAUUCUCCCGGCUUGAAGAACAUAUUAAUGACAAAAACAUAAAUAAAAUUAUCGCUUAUGAUAGACCAAUUUAAAUGAAAAAGAAGCGGUAAUAGAGUAUAUUGGUAAUGUUCAAUGAAUAAGAAACCAAAAGAAGUUCAAGGUUGUAGCACUCCAUUCCAAAGGAAAGAUGGAAAAGACAAAGAACUGCAUACUAUGAAAGAGCAAUCGAAAACUCCAAAUAAAAUGACUCUGACAUAUCAUCAAAAUAAAAUGACUCAGGCAUAUCAUCAAACACUUUGGUGCAUGCAUAGACGAUAAAUGAGAUUACCUCUUCAUCCUGCAAGAUAAGAUUCUAGAAUUUUAUUUUUUUCUCACCGCUUUCCCAUUCUCGACUUCUAUCAACAACUUGUAUCUUGCAAGUCCAACCAGGUGUAGCUACAAAGUAAAUUACCGUCAGUUAUACAGAAAAACUGGUGAUGAAAAUUUUCGAUUGCUACUUGUUUUAUAUGAAAGAUGAGGUAUCUGAAAGUAUAACUAAAAUAAAUUAAAUACUGAACAUGCACUAGUAUCUAUCUCCAAACAUGUAUUUGAAAAUUAGUUACAAUUAUGUGCAUUCAUAUACAAAAUUCACAAAGAAAUUAUAUAAAAGAAGAGGAAACAACACAUACAAACCAAAUUACCUAGCAAACAAUUGAAAAAAUGGCAACAACCCUAGGCAGAACUCAUAGAUUCAAGAUAGGCCAGAUACAAAUAGUAACCAAUAUGGAAAAAUUCAGACGAAAACUAAGAAAUGAGGCAUGGAAGAAUCAGGGGUGCGCUAAACAAAGAAAAGAAUGCAAAAAACUCUCACUAAUUGAGAAAUUGAAAAAUCAAAAGUGAUAAUUUGGAACCAAAUUCAGAAAUCUGAAAGAAAAGUGAAACGAAUUCAAGGUGUUAGAGAGGAGCAAAAGAAAGGAACAAAAAGGAGGCCUCCGAUGAACAAUGAAAAGUAAGAAGAUGAUCGAUCAGGAUAAUAGGAGUUUCUGGAUUGUACUAUUGAAGUGUAGUAGCAGAGAAUUUUGAACAAAAUGUGGAAUACACGUGUUCACAAAAGAAUAGGUUGAUGACUUCAAUCACCAAUUUACCCCCAAACAGAAAAUCAAUUAGUGUAGGUCAAGGAUAUAAUAGACAAACAGUCAUGUACUGAUUUAAUGAAAUGGGCCCACUGUACACGGUACUUCACAUUGAAUUUAGUACGAACAUGUUCGCCCCACUCAACUCCCACUUCUAAAUAAUAGACUAGUUGAGUCCUGCAGCUCGGGCGCAACAACUCGAAUUGUAA
Molecule: long non-coding RNA, 2713 nt
Filed under: Nicotiana tabacum (common tobacco)
Lineage: Eukaryota; Viridiplantae; Streptophyta; Magnoliopsida; Solanales; Solanaceae
Description: long non-coding RNA (NTAB_LNC019653)
Source: RNAcentral